UGCCCUAGCAGCGGGAACAGUACUGCAGCGGGCGCUCGGCUCUGGAGUAUUGUUGCCGCUGCCCGGGCA
Molecule: microRNA precursor, 69 nt
Filed under: Loxodonta africana (African savanna elephant)
Lineage: Eukaryota; Metazoa; Chordata; Mammalia; Proboscidea; Elephantidae
Description: mir-503 microRNA precursor family
Rfam family: mir-503 microRNA precursor family
Source: Rfam by way of RNAcentral